RNAcentral lists this ribosomal RNA (255 nucleotides) under uncultured bacterium. Its description in RNAcentral is "partial 16S ribosomal RNA". It matches the Rfam family "Bacterial small subunit ribosomal RNA", at positions 524 to 776 of the family's 1533-position model. The record is from RNAcentral.
UACGAAGGGGGCUAGCGUUGCUCGGAAUCACUGGGCGUAAAGAGUGUGUAGGCGGUGCUCUAAGUUCGGGUGUGAAAUCUCCUGGCUCAACUGGGAGGGUGCGCCGGAAAACUGGAGUGCUUGAGCGUGGGAGAGGAAAGCGGAAUUCCUGGUGUAGCGGUGAAAUGCGCAGAUAUCAGGAGGAACACCAAUGGCGAAGGCAGCUCGCUGGGACGGUACUGACGCUGAGACGCGAAAGCGUGGGGAGCAAACAGG